Molecule: ribosomal RNA, 337 nt
Filed under: Oligoflexales bacterium
Lineage: Bacteria; Pseudomonadati; Bdellovibrionota; Oligoflexia; Oligoflexales
Description: partial 23S ribosomal RNA
Rfam family: Bacterial large subunit ribosomal RNA
Source: RNAcentral
UAAAGUGGUACGCGAGCUGGGUUCAGAACGUCGUGAGACAGUUCGGUCCCUAUCUACUGUGGGCGCAGGAAAUUUGAGAGGGUCUGACCUUAGUACGAGAGGACCGGGUUGGACGCACCAAUGGUGUACCUAUUGUCGCGCCAGCGGCACCGUAGGGUAGCUAUGUGCGGAAGGGAUAACCGCUGAAAGCAUCUAAGUGGGAAGCCCGCCUCAAGAUUAGAUUUCCCUGACGCAAGUCCUAAAGAUCCGUUCUAGACCAGGACGUUGAUAGGCUGGAGGUGGAAGUGUGGUAACACAUGGAGCUGACCAGUACUAAUCGAUCGUGAGGCUUAUUCAU